CAGUUCGAUGUACGAAUGAAAUUUUGAAGCUUUCCGGGCAGUUCUCAUUACCAGGCGCUAUCGUUGAUAUCUCCUCUUUUGAGUCCAUACGUUUAAUCUUAUACGUUUGCUAUUAAUGCUAUUAAUGCUAUUAAUGCUAUUAAUGCUAUUAAUGCUAUUAAUGCUAUUAUGUUUAAUGGGAGUCAGUAUGUCCACAAGAAUUAAAGGUUUGGUAAAAUGGUUUAACGAAGAUAAAGGUUUUGGUUUUAUUUCACCUCUUGACGGAAGCAAAGAUGUCUUCGUCCAUUUCUCCGCACUCCAUGGUGAGAAUUUCAAUACCUUAUUUGAAGGACAGAAAGUUGAGUUCGCCAUGCAGAGUGGUGAAAAAGGGCCUGCUGCUACAAACGUAAUA
Molecule: small RNA, 391 nt
Filed under: Klebsiella variicola
Lineage: Bacteria; Pseudomonadati; Pseudomonadota; Gammaproteobacteria; Enterobacterales; Enterobacteriaceae
Description: cspA thermoregulator
Rfam family: cspA thermoregulator
Source: RNAcentral